RNAcentral lists this small RNA (189 nucleotides) under Pongo abelii (Sumatran orangutan). RNAcentral describes it as "processed transcript". The record is from RNAcentral. Lineage: Eukaryota; Metazoa; Chordata; Mammalia; Primates; Hominidae.
GGCUCUACUACCGAAAAAAGAAGAAAAGCACCCAGAGAUAUUUGUGAACUUCAUGGAGCCCUGUUAUGGCAGCUGCACGGAGAGACAGCAUCAUUACUACCUCAGUUACAUUGAGGAAUGAUUAAUUGGGAAUCUUGGCUACUGGAGGAUUCUAGUCGAGCUGAAUUGCCUGUGACAGACAAGAGUGAU